GAGUGUGUACCGAGGCACAGGGCUCAUAAACCAAAGAUAAGAUAAGGCCCCUGAGGCCCUUGUCUUUAAGGAACUUACGGCCUAUUCAUUUGGACAAGUGAAUGGACAUCGCUAUUAAUAUUGCUCAACACUACAAAACAAUUUCUGCACUAAUGAAAGUUAUGCAAAAUACUCAGGACUAUAUAAGAUAAAUAUUAUUGCACCCAAGUUUAGGCUAAACUUUACCUGAGUAAAGGCUAUGUAAUAGCACUGUCCUCUCCAGAUUAUCCAGGUUUAUCAGUAAGGCAACAAUGUAUAGAACUGCAAGGAUUUUUUUUUUUUUUUUUUUUUUUUUUUUUUUGCCUAGGACUUAACUUUAAGUUUCUGGGUUAGGGCCUUCAUUUAUAUUACUCAUCUUUUAUUCCAUGGAAUUCUAAAUAGGCCUGAGGAGGAGGUGCUGACCCAAAGAAAGGAGGCAGCUUUGAGAAAGCUUUUAGUAGAUCACAGCUGUGUAGAGUCUGAUAUAAAUUACAGGAUAUUAGAAAGCUGGGAAUGGUGCCAUCACACCCAGUGGUUUGUUUUUGCUUUUUGUUUUGGUAUUAGGGAUUUAACCCAGAGGUGGUUUACCACUGAGCUACAUCCAUGGUCCUUUUUAUUUUUUACAUUGAGAUAGGAUCUUACUAAAUUACUGAGGCUGGCCUGGAUUUGGGAUCCUCCUGUCUCAGCCUCCCCAGUUGCUGGGAUUAUAGGAGGGUGCCACCCCAUCCAGCCUGCCAAUUACUUUUGAUGUUAUUAGUAUCAAAAAUAAACAUGGAUUUUUCAUUUAAAUUUAUAUUUUUAAUUUCUAACUAUUACAUAAGAAUUGUACAUAUUUACCAUGUGAUGUUUUGAUACAUGUUCACUUUUUGUUAUUAAAAAUCUGGUGGGGGCAGAGAGGUGGGGCUGGGGUUAUGGCUCAGCGGUAGAGCACUCGCCUCACAUGUGCAAAGCCCUGGGUUAGAUCCUUAGCACCACAUAAAAAUAAAUAAAUAAAAAAGUCAUAAAAAAAAAUAUGGCCGGGCGUGGUGGCAAAUGCCUAUAAUCCCAAAGGUUUAGGAGGCUGAGGAAGGAGGAGAUCAAAACCAGCCUCAGCAAAAGCUGGGUGCUAAGCAACUCAGUGAGACCCUGUCUCAGAAUGAAAUACAAAAUAGGACUGGAGAUGUGGCUCAGUGGUUGAGAGCUCCUGAGUUCAAUCCCCGGUACUACCCCCUGCCCCCAAAAUCUGAAAGUUAAAGCUUCUAUGGAAAGUAGUUUUGUUAGGGGACAGACAGAUGAGGAUGGUGGAAACAUGAGGUUAAGAGAAUAAUUCUAUAAAAUGAGUCCGAUCUGCUGACCCCCACAUGCUUUCUUUUCCAAGAAGCAAUUUACCUGCAGCCCUGCCUAACUGGACAGGAUAUGUCACAUUCCUCAGCAAACUGUUAACUACAGGAGAAAUGUAGGCCCAAAAUAAUGUUGGUAGUAACCCUGAAGGGAAACACUUUUGUGACCAGAUCCUGAAAAUCCAAGAGAUAAGGAUGAUUCCUCUUUACCAUUAAAUCUGUAAGAAUGUAUGGUUAAGAAUCCAAUUAGAUGAUCAACACAGGCCAACCUAGAGUUGCCAUGGCAGUGGGUACUUAAAAGUCUGAUGUUAUCUUGCUGUCAGUCAAAAGUCAAGAAGUGAGCCCUGGCAGGACUUUCUGCAAACUUGUCUGGGAUCCCCAAUAAAAUGGGAGUGUAGGAAAGACCCAUUGUCUCUCUCCUCUUUGGGAGGACCCACUCUCUCCUCUGAGAGGGUCCCCUUUUCCUUUUCCUAUCCUUUCAAUAUACUCAUUCCUGUUAUUCUGAGCUACAUGGCCAAAAUCUUUCUGACUUGAUCUAAAGAUUUGGGGUUUGCAGGGUGUGGUCUUCUAAUUGCCUCAGUUUCUGCAAAGGCCCCUGCUAGGUAACAAUUUGAAGUGGCUCUGCCUGCCAACCCUCAGUAGCAGUUAAAAGUUAGAUGGAAGGUAUCAAUCUAUUAUCAUUUUCUCCUAUGCACUAAAACCUUUUAAAUAUUUCUGGGUUUUUUAAAUUUGAAAAAUAGAAAUUAGAAAUAGAAAUUCAAUAUUUUAAAAUCUAAAACUAGAAACUGACUUACUUUCUGUGUGAUGCUAGGGAUCAAACUCAGGGUAUCAAGCUCUACCACUAAGCUACACGCCUAACCCCAACCCUGUUAUUUUAUGUAAAAGAAAAACUAUGUCAGGCAUGGUGGCACAUGCCUGUAAUCCUAUCUACCGUGGAGACUGAAGCAGAAGGAUAGCAAGUUCAAGACCAGCUUGGGUACUAUAGUGAGAUCCCGUCUCAAAAAGAAAAAAAAAAAAAAAGGAAAGCUAUAAAGUCACAAAUAACUUGUUCCAACCAGAAAAAAGGAAAGAAUGUAUUAGCUUUUCUUUUUUAUGCAGUUCAAAAAUCAGUACAUUUAUGCAUAUUUUUCUUCUACUUCAGUUAAAUAAAUCAUCAGAGAUACAGCACAAAAUUGUACCCAGCACAUGGUAAAUAGGCACUUGGUCAAUAUUGAGGUCAAUAUUGACCUGAUUGCUUUCUUACUUGCUUUCCUCUCUUGUUUUUAAUUUUCCCUUACAUCUUCCAAAUUUUCCAAUAAAACCAAUGUUUUACCUGGAGAAUGGCCUAGGUUUCAUGAACAUCAAUUUUCAUUGUGUCCACUUACUUCAUUAUGGUUCAAAACCACAAACUUCCCCUACUUAAGACUUUUCUUGGUAUCUACUUCAAUAUAUAAGAAAUGAUUACUAUUCUCAAAAUUAAGAGAUUGGACUAAAUGAACUCUGAAUCACCUUAGGAACUUAAAGAUUCCUUAAUUCUUUCUAAUUUAGCAACAAUAAAUCAUUGAUUUGUGUUUUUAAAAGCUUCUCAGUUUCUACAGAACACUACACAGGAAGAACUGGCUUUCUUUCAGUUGCAAGCAUGAAGACAACAGCAAGACCAGUCUGUGUGGAUCACAGAUGCUUUUGCCACAACUAUUUGCCAAAUUAGGAAGUGCAGUGUAAGCCCCUAUGACACCAGUCCACCCAGUACCUGCACUGAUGCUGAAGGAACAAGGGAACUGAAGGACCCUGGGGCCAGCAGGUAUAAACAAUGAAGAGUGAAAGUGAGCAUCCUGCAAACAUCUUUGGGAAAAAAAAAUUUUUUUGUUUGUUUUAUUUUGAGCCUCAGAAGGAAUGUUUCUAGUGUUCUUCAUCAAGUAUAAAAAUAGUUGUUGAUUUAAGAUUACUGUGUAUUUUUAUCAUUUUAAUAAAGUGUCUUGUAAUUCUG
Molecule: long non-coding RNA, 3303 nt
Organism: Marmota monax (woodchuck)
Lineage: Eukaryota; Metazoa; Chordata; Mammalia; Rodentia; Sciuridae
Exons: 2
Source: RefSeq, a predicted model, not a curated record